CUCGUUUACUGCGCAUAAGGAAGCAAAGGUAAACCACUUCCAUAUUUUUACCAAGGAAACUGUAUGGAUACACGAGGAAAAUGAUUGCAGACAGAGGUUGGCCGUUCUGGGAGAGAUGUGUCUACGGGCGUCGCUAUGUGUCAGAGACGACUCAACGGCUUAAGACAGCAACAGACCUGACACACGACACAGGAAGACUUUUUGAAAAAGUAACCUUCAUCUAGCCAGUGAAGAAACAAGUUGGAGUCCCUGGCACCGCAAAGACAACUUCCCAGGACCCCCACCUCUGGCCCGAACCUGAGGCCUGUGGGCCUC
This 315-nucleotide long non-coding RNA is filed under the name Ornithorhynchus anatinus (platypus). RNAcentral's name for it is "lncRNA (ENSOANG00000043780.1)". The record is from RNAcentral. Lineage: Eukaryota; Metazoa; Chordata; Mammalia; Monotremata; Ornithorhynchidae.